This 484-nucleotide ribosomal RNA is filed under the name uncultured bacterium. Its description in RNAcentral is "partial 16S ribosomal RNA". It matches the Rfam family "Bacterial small subunit ribosomal RNA", at positions 30 to 507 of the family's 1533-position model. The record is from RNAcentral.
AUUGAACGCUGGCGGCAGGCCUAACACAUGCAAGUCGAGCGGAUGAAGGGAGCUUGCUCCUGGAUUCAGCGGCGGACGGGUGCGUAAUGCCUAGGAAUCUGCCUGGUAGUGGGGGAUAACGUCCGGAAACGGGCGCUAAUACCGCAUACGUCCUGCGGGAGAAAGUGGGGGAUCUUCGGACCUCACGCUAUCAGAUGCGCCUAGGUCGGAUUAGCUAGUUGGUGGGGUAAAGGCCUACCAAGGCGACGAUCCGUAACUGGUCUGAGAGGAUGAUCAGUCACACUGGAACUGAGACACGGUCCAGACUCCUACGGGAGGCAGCAGUGGGGAAUAUUGGACAAUGGGCGAAAGCCUGAUGCAGCCAUGCCGCGUGUGUGAAGAAGGUCUUCGGAUUGUAAAGCACUUUAAGUUGGAAGGAAGGGCAGUAAGUUAAUACCUUGCUGUUUUGACGUUACCAACAGAAUAAGCACCGGCUAACUUCGUG